This 487-nucleotide ribosomal RNA is filed under the name uncultured bacterium. Its description in RNAcentral is "partial 16S ribosomal RNA". It matches the Rfam family "Bacterial small subunit ribosomal RNA", at positions 28 to 507 of the family's 1533-position model. The record is from RNAcentral.
GAUGAACGCUAGCGAUAGGCUUAACACAUGCAAGUCGAGGGGCAGCACAAGGUAGCUUGCUAUCUGGGUGGCGACCGGCGCACGGGUGCGUAACGCGUAUGCAACUUGCCCUAUACAGGAGGAUAACCCGUCGAAAGACGGACUAAUACUGCGUAUGCUCACAACUUGGCAUCAAGUGGUGAGGAAAGAAAUUCGGUAUAGGAUAGGCAUGCGUCCCAUUAGCUUGUUGGUGAGGUAACGGCUCACCAAGGCAACGAUGGGUAGGGGAACUGAGAGGUUUAUCCCCAACACUGGUACUGAGACACGGACCAGACGCCUAGGGGAGGCAGCAGUGAGGAAUAUUGGUCAAUGGGCGCGAGCCUGAACCAGCCAAGUCGCGUGAAGGAUGACUGUCUUAUGGAUUGUAAACUUCUUUUAAAAGGGAAUAACAAGAGUCACGUGUGACUCCCUGAAUGUACCGUAUGAAUAAGCAUCGGCUAACUCCGUG